This 459-nucleotide ribosomal RNA is filed under the name uncultured bacterium. Its description in RNAcentral is "partial 16S ribosomal RNA". It matches the Rfam family "Bacterial small subunit ribosomal RNA", at positions 338 to 795 of the family's 1533-position model. The record is from RNAcentral.
CCUACGGGAGGCAGCAGUGAGGAAUAUUGGUCAAUGGCCGGAAGUCUGAACCAGCCAAGCCGCGUGAAGGACGAAGGUCCUACGCGUUGUAAACUUCUUUUGUCAAGGGACAAAAUCAGGCACGUGAGCCUGACCGAGGGUACCCUAUGAACAAGCAUCGGCUAACUCCGUGCCAGCAGCCGCGGUAAUACGGAGGAUGCGAGCGUUAUCCGGAUUUAUUGGGUUUAAAGGGUGGGUCGGCGGUCGGUUAAGUCCGUGGUAAAAGUUCGGGGCUCAACCCCGGCGUGCCGUUGAAACUGGGAGUCUGGAGAGGACGAGAGGUAGGCGGAAUGUGCGGUGUAGCGGUGAAAUGCUUAGAUAUCGCGCAGAACUCCGAUUGCGAAGGCAGCAUACCGGAGGGGAACUGACGCUGAGGCACGAAAGUGUGGGUAUCGAACAGGAUUAGAUACCCUAGUAGUC